RNAcentral lists this long non-coding RNA (1235 nucleotides) under Aotus nancymaae (Ma's night monkey). Its description in RNAcentral is "lncRNA (ENSANAG00000039450.1)". Lineage: Eukaryota; Metazoa; Chordata; Mammalia; Primates; Aotidae. The record is from RNAcentral.
CAAUUUGGGAGGCCGAGGCGGGCAGAUCAUGAGGUCAAGAGAUCUCAAGCAACCUGGCCAACAUGAUGAAACCCCCUUGUCUACAAAAAAUACAAAAAUUAGCUGGGCAUGGUGUUAUGCGCCUGUAGUCCCAGCUACUGAGGAGGCUGAGGCAGGAGAAUCACUUGAAGGAUUGCGGUGAGCUGAGAUUGCAUCACUGCACUCCAGACUUGUAAGAGAGUGAGACUCCAUCUCAAAACAACAACAACAACAAAGAAAAAAAAAAAAACCUGCAAAGUAGGACGUGACUGUAGGGGCUUGUAGUUCUCAUGAGUAUCACUGCUCUUCUUUUCACAGCUGAGAGAUUAUCAUCAGCACAACAGCCCUGGUGUUGGUACAGGAGCAACCGACACCAAAAGGCAAAUAAACAGUGGCAGCGACACUGACACCACCACUUCUCCUGGCUGCCACUCACCUGAGGACGAAAAUAAGCCAAUUUACCACCAUCUGGCAGCCCUCAAGUGGCAGGUAGAGGUGAGUGGAGGGUGUGGAGUUCCCUCCUGUCCUCUGGAGGAGGUUUCUUUGCUUCUCUUUCAGCAUGUGCUUGGCUUUUCUCCCACAGGCUCAGGCUGAUAUCAUCGGUGCCCAGGAGACAGCCCUAUACUUCAGUGAGAAUGCAGCCAGGCAGCUAGAAGGUGGGAAUCUGGACACCCCGUCAUCAUCAUUUCAACCUGGCACUUUGACAGGCUUUUAGGGGGAGUCCCUUGGGCCUCAUCUCAACCUCUCUCCUUCCAGGAGACUGCAGAUACCUCUCCGGCUGCCUGCAACAUGCCUCCCGACAGGUGGAGGACUUGCAGCAGGCUUUGUCUCAUGUAUCCAGACAGAAAAACAUGGCGGACAGGGUGAGUCCAAACACCUGCCCCAUCCCCUGGCAAUCCGACUUCCCAGAUGGAGGAGUGAUGGUAAAGGUUCCUCUGCAGGAUGGAGCAUCCUUCCCAGAAGGCAGCAUGGGCCAUUUCUUGGUGCUUCUGUGUGUGGUUGUCAGAGGCAGGCUGGGGCUGAGUCGGCUGCUGUGGUGCAAUGAGGAGUUAAUAAAGGAGAGGGAUGGCCUGAGUCUGGCACUGUACAGGAACACUAUUCAUCAAUGAGGAGCUGGAGAGGAAGAACACCAAACUAGAAGAAAAACUUAGACUCCUGCAGUCCGAAAAGUCCAGCAUCCAGCUCAGUGUCCAGGAGCUACAAAGCAAGCUGGAUAG